This 218-nucleotide long non-coding RNA is filed under the name Homo sapiens (human). RNAcentral's name for it is "HSALNT0110390". Lineage: Eukaryota; Metazoa; Chordata; Mammalia; Primates; Hominidae. The record is from RNAcentral.
UGGGUAUCCACUUGGAAUGUGGGGACAGAGAUUCUUCCAAACCCACCCUUUCUGUUUGCAGCUGUAAUGCUGGGUAGAAAGAGUGCAUUUAACAGUUAUUUGGUUUAUUUGAUUGAAGCUGGGUCCUUCCCAGCAGUGCCUUGUCCCAGCAGUGCCAUAUAAUGAAUCUCUGUAUCCAGUUGUUGCAUCAGGAAAGCAAGAGUGGAACAGUACUUCUA